GCCCGGGUGGUGGAAUUGGUAGACGCGCACGCUUCAGGUGCGUGUGGGGGAAACUCUGUGGAAGUUCGAGUCUUCUUCCGGGCACCA
RNAcentral lists this transfer RNA (87 nucleotides) under Holosporales bacterium. RNAcentral's name for it is "tRNA-Leu". It matches the Rfam family "tRNA". From Rfam's summary of the family: Transfer RNA (tRNA) molecules are approximately 80 nucleotides in length. Lineage: Bacteria; Pseudomonadati; Pseudomonadota; Alphaproteobacteria; Holosporales. The record is from RNAcentral.